Molecule: unclassified non-coding RNA, 328 nt
Filed under: soil metagenome
Description: partial contains 5.8S ribosomal RNA, internal transcribed spacer 2, and large subunit ribosomal RNA
Rfam family: 5.8S ribosomal RNA (bases 1-120)
Source: RNAcentral
GAUGAAGAACGCAGCGAAAUGCGAUAAGUAAUGUGAAUUGCAGAAUUCAGUGAAUCAUCGAAUCUUUGAACGCACAUUGCGCCCCUUGGUAUUCCGAGGGGCAUGCCUGUUCGAGCGUCAUUAUAACCCCUCAAGCUCAGCUUGGUGUUGGGGCCUGCCGCACGGGCAGCCCUUAAAAUCAGUGGCGGUGCCAUCUGGCCCUAAGCGUAGUAAUUCUUCUCGCUAUAGAGUCCCGGUGGAUGCUUGCCAUUAACCCCCAAUUUUCUAUGGUUGACCUCGGAUCAGGUAGGGAUACCCGCUGAACUUAAGCAUAUCAAUAAGCGGAGGA